AUCAUCCUACGGGGCGCAGCAGUAGGGAAUCUUCCACAAUGGACGAAAGUCUGAUGGAGCAACGCCGCGUGAGUGAAGAAGGGUUUCGGCUCGUAAAGCUCUGUUGGUAGUGAAGAAAGAUAGAGGUAGUAACUGGCCUUUAUUUGACGGUAAUUACUUAGAAAGUCACGGCUAACUACGUGCCAGCAGCCGCGGUAAUACGUAGGUGGCAAGCGUUGUCCGGAUUUAUUGGGCGUAAAGCGAGUGCAGGCGGGUCAAUAAGGCUGAUGUUGAAACCUU
RNAcentral lists this ribosomal RNA (279 nucleotides) under uncultured bacterium. RNAcentral describes it as "partial 16S ribosomal RNA". It matches the Rfam family "Bacterial small subunit ribosomal RNA", at positions 333 to 604 of the family's 1533-position model. The record is from RNAcentral.